GAAAGGUGUGCUAAUACCUGAUACGUCUGGAAUUAUACUUUGAAUCUAGAGAAAGGUGGCCUCUUCAUGAAAGCUACUGUGCGGGGAGGAGCUUGCGUACCAUUAGCUAGUUGGUAGGGUAAGGGCCUACCAAGGCGAUGAUGGUUAGCGGGUCUGAGAGGAUGAUCCGCCACACUGGAACUGGAACACGGACCAGACUCCUACGGGAGGCAGCAGUGAGGAAUAUUGCGCAAUGGGGGCAACCCUGACGCAGCGACGCCGCGUGGAUGAUGAAGGCCUUCGGGUUGUAAAAUCCUGUCAGAUGGGAAGAAGUGGUAGGUGGUUAAUAUCCAUCUACUUUGACGGUACCAUCAAAGGAAGCACCGGCUAACUCCGUGCCAGCAGCCGCGGUAAUACGGAGGGUGCAAGCGUUGUUCGGAAUUACUGGGCGUAAAGCGCGCGUAGGCGGCUAUCUAAGUCAGAUGUGAAAGCCCGCGGCUCAACCGUGGAAGUGCAUUUGAAACUGGAUAGCUUGAGUACUGGAGGGGGUAGUGG
Molecule: ribosomal RNA, 534 nt
Filed under: uncultured bacterium
Lineage: Bacteria
Description: bacterial SSU rRNA
Rfam family: Bacterial small subunit ribosomal RNA
Source: RNAcentral